GAUGAACGCUAGCGGCAGGCUUAACACAUGCAAGUCGAGGGGCAGCGCGGGAUAGCAAUAUCCUGGCGGCGACCGGCGGAAGGGUGCGUAACGCGUGAGCGACAUGCCCGUUGCCCGGGGGCAACCGGUGGAAACGCCGACUAAUCCCCGAUGGGAUAUUGUGCCGCAUGGCACGAUAUUGAAAGUUACGGCGGCGACGGAUUGGCUCGCGUCCGAUUAGCUGGUUGGCGGGGUAACGGCCCACCAAGGCUGCGAUCGGUAGGGGUUCUGAGAGGAAGGCCCCCCACAAUGGGACUGAGACACGGCCCAUACUCCUACGGGAGGCAGCAGUGAGGAAUAUUGGUCAAUGGGCGGAAGCCUGAACCAGCCAUGCCGCGUGCGGGAAGGAGGCCCUAUGGGCUGUGAACCGCUUUUGCCUGGGGGCAAUAAGGGCGUCGCGCACGUCCGAUGAGAGUACCAGGCGAAUAAGCAUCGGCUAACUCCGUG
Molecule: ribosomal RNA, 486 nt
Filed under: uncultured bacterium
Lineage: Bacteria
Description: partial 16S ribosomal RNA
Rfam family: Bacterial small subunit ribosomal RNA
Source: RNAcentral